AAGAAAGAGUAUGUGCAUGCAUGUACUGUUUUUUUUCCUAUUAGUAUACAGCGGCGGAAUCAGAAGUUUUUUUAUAGGGGGGUCAAAAUAUAUCACUAAAUUUUUUUUAUUUAUUGACGCUUGAAGUGUUUCUUUCGGUUGUACGACUAAGAGGAGGCAACUGUAUCAUGCGAGUCUGCAUAGUUUGAAAAUGUUUCAAAAUUUGCUCGCUAUCAAUUGUUGGAAAAAUAUAAUAAUUCAAUGUGUAAAAAUUGUGGGAAUAUAGAAAUGAGCAUAUUUGAUUGAAUCUCUUCAUAAAGAUUUCUUGAUU
Molecule: long non-coding RNA, 310 nt
Filed under: Panax ginseng (ginseng)
Lineage: Eukaryota; Viridiplantae; Streptophyta; Magnoliopsida; Apiales; Araliaceae
Description: long non-coding RNA (PGIN_LNC007851)
Source: RNAcentral